This 124-nucleotide microRNA precursor is filed under the name Hordeum vulgare. RNAcentral describes it as "microRNA MIR1122". It matches the Rfam family "MIR1120/MIR1122 microRNA precursor family". The record is from RNAcentral. Lineage: Eukaryota; Viridiplantae; Streptophyta; Magnoliopsida; Poales; Poaceae.
AUAUUACUCCCUCCGUCCGGAAAUACUUAUCGGAGGAAUGGAUGUAUGUAGAUGCAUUUUAGUUCUAGAUACAUCCAUUUUUACUCAUUUUUGCGACAAGUAAUUCCGGCGGAGGGAGUAUAUG